CACACACCACUCACAGGUAGUGAUUGAACCAAGCUGGCUUCCCUCAUUUCCGAGAGGAUCCUCAUAGCUUCUCACUCUAGUACCCUCUGUCACUGCCACUGUUCUCCUGGGGUUCAGUAGUGGGGCCAUGGCAAUCCUGAGGCCCCUUCAAGUUUCACAAGCAGACCCGUUAGGAGACCAGCGGGCACAGUGACCCAUCAGCCUUUGAGAGCCCCACCUGGAAUCUCACUUCUACAUGCUAGGUUGAGCAGUGGUUCUCAACCUUCCUGACACUUCGACCCUUUAAUACAGUUCCUCAUGUUGUGGUGACCCCUGUGAAAAGGUCAUUUAACCCCCAGCAGGGUCACAACCCACAGGCUGAGAACUGCUGUUCAUCACUGAGAUUGCCAACUGUGAGGAAUAAACACAAGAUGGCUCCGAUCUGAGACACUGGCCUCUGAGUAGGAAGGGGUGUUGUCACGUGACGAAUCACAAGCAUGCAGAGACAGUACCGGCUUCCAAGUCCACAUACAACUGGUCUCCCAACACCUGACAAGGAAGCUAACGGAGUCAGAUAACCGCUCAUAGUACAGGGUCUGGCAGCACCUUGGGACACACCACGAGCACAAGAGAAGCACAGAGCCUAUGGUGGGACACAGGCAUGAACCACCAUGGUCCCCACUGGCAAAGCAGCUUCCCUAACCAGAACUAUCUCCUUCUUUCCCAGGAAGCUUUAAUCGUCUUCUUUUCACAACUAAAAAUGGGCCAGGAUCCAGCAGAGGACAGUGGCAAGGAAGGCUCAGCAUGAAAAAGAAAAGCAGCUACCAUCCAGUGUACCUUGUGACCACCCCUUUCUCAGUUCCCUACAAGAUCCUGGUAGGGGUCGUCAAAUUCACGUGGCUUUGUGUUAACAGUACCUCCAAGACUAGAAAGGAUUAAAAACUCACAAAGA
This is a non-coding RNA of Peromyscus maniculatus bairdii (prairie deer mouse), 931 nucleotides long. NCBI's taxonomy places the organism in Eukaryota, Metazoa, Chordata, Mammalia, Rodentia, Cricetidae. The record is from RefSeq and is a predicted model, not a curated record.